RNAcentral lists this ribosomal RNA (477 nucleotides) under uncultured bacterium. RNAcentral describes it as "SSU rRNA". It matches the Rfam family "Bacterial small subunit ribosomal RNA", at positions 26 to 523 of the family's 1533-position model. The record is from RNAcentral.
AGGAUAAACGCUGGCGGCGUGCCUAACACAUGCAAGUCGAACGUCCUGUCUCGCAAGAGGCAGGGAGUGGCGGACGGGUGAGUACCACGUGGGUCAUCUACCGUGAGGUGAGGAAUACCGGCGAGAAAUCGCCGACAAGACCGCAUAGGCUCGAUGCAAGUCGAGCAAAGCUCUUUCGAGAGAGGGAGCGCCACACGAGGAGCCUGCGCCCGAUUAGCUAGCUGGUGGAGUAACGGUUCACCAGGGCGACGAUCGGUAGCUGGUCUGAGAGGACGAUCAGCCACACUGGGAUUGAGAACGGCCCAGACUCCUACGGGGGGCAGCAGUGAGGAAUUUUCGUCAAUGGGGGCAACCCUGAACGAGCAACGCCGCGUGCAGGAAGAAGGUUUUCGGAUCGUAAACUGCUUUUCUCGGGGAAGAGAACGGACGGUACCCGAGGAAUCAGCCCCGGCUAACUACGUGCCAGCGCCGCGGUAA